RNAcentral lists this long non-coding RNA (757 nucleotides) under Marmota monax (woodchuck). The record is from RNAcentral. Lineage: Eukaryota; Metazoa; Chordata; Mammalia; Rodentia; Sciuridae.
CUUAGGUCCAGGCAAAUAGGGCUCCUUGGGGUGAUUCUCAAGGAAGUCAUGCCUUUCUUUGGCUCAAUAGUACUCCUCUAUGUUUAAUUCUUCUUCACUUUGGUAUUGCCUCCUUGGAUAGGUUAGUAAGCUGGAAGGCAUAGAACUAGGUCAUGGGAGGAACCCGAAUUCAGCACUGAAGAAUUCUGGCUGGCCCAGUAGAGUCGCCACCAACCAGUUGUGUGAAGUGGAUAGAGCUUAGCUGUAACUGUGUGCCCUUAAUGCCAGAGGAGAGAAAUAAUGCCCACCCUGCCUGCACCACAAGGCUACUUUGAGGAACAUGACCAAUCUCGUGUGGGGACCUCCUUUAGUGCCUGUAGGAUUGUCUGUGUAACCCUAAUUGUAUUGUUAGAUGAUGUAAAAAGGAUACCCUGGUGCAUUACACUGAGAAGACUAAGGAUUUUCCCUGCCAAAUACAUCUCAUGCCCAUUCUCCACGUGCUCGUGCACCUGUGUAAAAUCACAUGCAACAGGGAAAGUUGAUUGGAAUUUUCUAUUUUCUUAUGUUUUCCUAAACUUGAGCCAUUGCUCCUCACCAUACCUGCUUUACCAGCUCACACUGGGAAUCGGAACCACCUGGUGUAUGUGGCAUCUCCACACCCCUCAGGGGCCCUUGAGGCUGAAUCUUAUGUCUCUCCAUAUCUCAGUCUGGCACUGAAUUUUCUCAAGUGUGCUCUGUAGAACAUCAGUCACCUAAAGUGUUAUUUUUGAGCCCACAG